This 253-nucleotide ribosomal RNA is filed under the name uncultured bacterium. RNAcentral describes it as "partial 16S ribosomal RNA". It matches the Rfam family "Bacterial small subunit ribosomal RNA", at positions 524 to 776 of the family's 1533-position model. The record is from RNAcentral.
UACGUAGGGGGCAAGCGUUGUCCGGAAUCAUUGGGCGUAAAGAGCGUGUAGGCGGCCAGAUAAGUCCGCUGUGAAAGUCCAGGGCUCAACCCUGGAAGGCCGGUGGAAACUGUCGGGCUAGAGUCCGGAAGAGGCGAGUGGAAUUCCCGGUGUAGCGGUGAAAUGCGCAGAUAUCGGGAGGAACACCAAUGGCGAAGGCAGCUCGCUGGGACGGUACUGACGCUGAGACGCGAAAGCGUGGGGAGCAAACAGG